CCUACGGGAGGCAGCAGUGGGGGAUAUUGCACAAUGGGGGAAACCCUGAUGCAGCGACGCCGCGUGUGGGAAGACGGUCCUCUGGAUUGUAAACCACUGUCCCCAGGGACGAAGAUGACGUUACCUGGGGCGGCAGCUCCGGCAAACUACGUGCCAGCAGCCGCGGUAAUACGUAGGGAGCGAGCGUUGUCCGGAAUUACUGGGUGUAAAGGGAGCGUAGGCGGGACUGCAAGUUGGGUGUCAAAUCUACCGGCUCAACCGGUAGCCGCAGUAAAAACUGCAGUUCUUGAGUGAAGGAGAGGCAGGCGGAAUGCGUAGUGUAGCGGUGAAAUGCGUAGAUAUUAGGAGGAACACCAGUGGCGAAGGCGGCCUGCUGGGCUUUGACUGACGCUGAGGCUCGAAAGUGUGGGGAGCGAACAGGAUUAGAUACCCCUGUAGUC
RNAcentral lists this ribosomal RNA (440 nucleotides) under uncultured bacterium. Its description in RNAcentral is "partial 16S ribosomal RNA". It matches the Rfam family "Bacterial small subunit ribosomal RNA", at positions 338 to 795 of the family's 1533-position model. The record is from RNAcentral.